This 2054-nucleotide long non-coding RNA is filed under the name Mus caroli (Ryukyu mouse). RNAcentral's name for it is "lncRNA (MGP_CAROLIEiJ_G0005567.1)". Lineage: Eukaryota; Metazoa; Chordata; Mammalia; Rodentia; Muridae. The record is from RNAcentral.
GAGCCUUCCCCUUUGUUUCCCUCAGUGAUGCUAGGGUCUUGAAACUCAGCCCAGUACAAUCAUUGGUGUUUGAGCUGGCAACUGGGGGUCUAAUUGCCAGCCGAGAUGGAUAUCUCUGACUCUGGAGAUACAGCUGGGAUAGGACAUUGUUGCUUCUCUGCGGCAGGCAGCUCUUGAUGCAAAUGCCGAGUUUGUACCAAUAGGAUUUAAACCUUGGUGGCUGACUCCAGCAUGCACUCUCUGCACUGUUCUACUCCCUCUUGCCACCACUCUGGUGACAUUUGUGUGGAGACAGGGUAUCUCUGUGCAGUCCUGGCUGUCCUGGAACUCACUUUGUAGACCAGGCUGGCUUAACGUUGAUGAAGACACCCAAAAGCUCAAAGAAGAUGGAACACCGGAGUGCCUUUGCCAUCAAACUUAUUCAUGCACUGUGUCAAUGCUACAGCUGACGUGGUUGGUGGAAAUCCUACGGACAAGAGCAAAGACAGCACAUUGUCCACAAGAGUCCAUGGCAGUGUGCUCCUGAACAUGCCACUAAAGCAAACCACACGUCGUGGCCAGCUUUCCCUCCCUUAGAGGAUGCUGUGUAUAAUAAACAGCAUCCAGACUGAGAAACUACAAGGAACAGCAAGGCUUUUUGUUCCCAAUUACAUUCAGAGGAAGCCUCACCAUGUCUAUGGAUACCCAGCAGGCUCUUCACCUGUGGCUCAAACCUCAAUCAGCUUUAGGGCAGCUACAAAGAGACAGUCCCUCUGCCACACCUCAUGGAAGUUGUCUGCCUGUCCAGCUGAACACGGAUUUGUUUUGAAAUGACACAGAGAGUUACAUAAAGAAACACUUGUUCUGACAAGAAAAGACUUGAGGAGAUAAGAACCUUCCUGGUCUUGGUUGUCCAGAUCUCUUCCCACAGCAUCCUGUCUCCCUGAGGAAAUGAGUGGCAUUUACAGUAUUCUGCUACCAUGCUCAACAGAUUCUUGGAUGUACAGUGCUCACCUCUUUUCUCAGAACCUUCUCCAGUGAAUGCCACCUUUGUCUUGCAGAGCAGCUGAAGUCAGAGAUGAAACAGACUCUUUUAUAGGGGCUCACUGCUCACUUUAAGCCCAGGGCUUCUGGCAAAAGUGUGACGUACUUGUUCUUGGAGACCAGAGAUGGCAGACUCCAAAUCAUGUCGUCUUCAAUUGCAAUGGGGAACAAUUUGGCUUCAAAAAAUUUUUCCAACAUACGUGAACUCUGAAGAAAUUUCUGGAGAGCUCAACAGCAGUGCUUUUCUCUAGAGAUGAUCUUCCUUUAUAGCUUGGUCAUGGGAGGUUCAGAAGGGAACCUCUUGGACAUGGUACUAUCAACGGACACGAUAGGUCCACUCUGGUUUGGAAACCCACUGUUUUCUUCCUGGUGCUAGCUUUUGCUAAUCCAGAGAACCGAACUUCCCAGACAUAAGGUGGCAGGGGAGCCUGAUGGACAGCUCCUGGCCGAAGCAGCUCCUGUCUUGUGUCAGACGUCUGCAGCAGACAUGGAGGAGUCCUAGCUGAGCAGCCCAAGAAGAUGAGCAGAAGACAGGGGUGUGCAGGUCUCCCACAGUGCCCCCUUGACACAUAUGCUACCUGGGGGGGGGGGGGUUCCCCAUGUUGUCUCACAGAUUUUCACAAAAUACGUGUCCAUAUUCCAGGAAGGUUAAGGCUGGAAACUACUGCACACGUUGCUUCCUAGCUGCCUGGAGAAUGUCCUGCUAGUCACUGUGACAUGUCUUUUCCGGGAGAAAUGAGAAACCUUUUUUGUAAGAACGGGCAUCAUGGAAGAAGAAGAACUUGACAUUUCCAUGGACAAGAAUUCAUUACAUCACUGCUCCGUUGACAGACAGGGCUGUAAGCCCUGGGGUACACAGAGCCUCAGGCUAGCAGCCAGCUCACCAACUCUCAUGCUUUCUUUCUCUGUUUCUCCACAAAAUGAAGACACAAAAAGAACUUAGUUUCAUGGAAAUGGCAUGAAAUGAAAAGUCAGGCUUCAUUUGGCACUUUGUUUGGGUCCCCAAAUAACAAAAUAACUACUUAAGAAAU